RNAcentral lists this ribosomal RNA (253 nucleotides) under uncultured bacterium. RNAcentral's name for it is "partial 16S ribosomal RNA". It matches the Rfam family "Bacterial small subunit ribosomal RNA", at positions 524 to 776 of the family's 1533-position model. The record is from RNAcentral.
UACAGAGGGGGCAAGCGUUAUUCGGAAUUAUUGGGCGUAAAGGGCGCGUAGGCGGCUUUGCAAGUGACGGGUGAAAGCCCUCGGCUUAACCGAGGAACUGCCUGUCAGACUGUGAGGCUUGAGACCGGGAGAGGUGAGUGGAAUUCCCAGUGUAGCGGUGAAAUGCGUAGAUAUUGGGAGGAACACCAGUGGCGAAGGCGGCUCACUGGACCGGAACUGACGCUGAUGCGCGAAAGCGUGGGGAGCAAACAGG